UCUCUGGGCUGUAACUGACGCUGAGAAGCGAAAGCAUGGGGAGCGAACAGGAUUAGAUACCCUGGUAGUCCAUGCCGUAAACGUUGGGCACUAGGUGUGGGGGACAUUCCACGUUUUCCGCGCCGUAGCUAACGCAUUAAGUGCCCCGCCUGGGGAGUACGGCCGCAAGGCUAAAACUCAAAGAAAUUGACGGGGGCCCGCACAAGCGGCGGAGCAUGCGGAUUAAUUCGAUGCAACGCGAAGAACCUUACCAAGGCUUGACAUAUACUGGACUGCGUCAGAGAUGGCGUUUCCCUUCGGGGCUGGUAUACAGGUGGUGCAUGGUUGUCGUCAGCUCGUGUCGUGAGAUGUUGGGUUAAGUCCCGCAACGAGCGCAACCCUCGUUCUAUGUUGCCAGCACGUGAUGGUGGGGACUCAUAGGAGACUGCCGGGGUCAACUCGGAGGAAGGUGGGGAUGACGUCAAAUCAUCAUGCCCCUUAUGUCUUGGGCUUCACGCAUGCUACAAUGGCCGGUACAGAGGGUUGCGAUACUGUGAGGUGGAGCUAAUCCCUAAAAGCCGGUCUCAGUUCGGAUUGGGGUCUGCAACUCGACCCCAUGAAGUCGGAGUCGCUAGUAAUCGCAGAUCAGCAACGCUGCGGUGAAUACGUUCCCGGGCCUUGUACACACCGCCCGUCAAGUCACGAAAGUUGGUAACACCCGAAGCCGGUGGCCUAACCCUGGUGGGGGGAGCCGUCGAAGGUGGGACUGGCGAUUGGGACUAAGUCGUAACAAGGUAGCCGUACCGGAAGG
RNAcentral lists this ribosomal RNA (790 nucleotides) under uncultured Rothia sp. RNAcentral's name for it is "bacterial SSU rRNA". It matches the Rfam family "Bacterial small subunit ribosomal RNA", at positions 726 to 1512 of the family's 1533-position model. The record is from RNAcentral. Lineage: Bacteria; Bacillati; Actinomycetota; Actinomycetes; Micrococcales; Micrococcaceae.